This 471-nucleotide ribosomal RNA is filed under the name uncultured Sphingobacteriales bacterium. RNAcentral's name for it is "bacterial SSU rRNA". It matches the Rfam family "Bacterial small subunit ribosomal RNA", at positions 906 to 1382 of the family's 1533-position model. Lineage: Bacteria; Pseudomonadati; Bacteroidota; Sphingobacteriia; Sphingobacteriales. The record is from RNAcentral.
GGAAUUGACGGGGCCCGCACAAGCGGAGGAACAUGUGGUUAAUUCGAUGAUACGCGAGGAACCUUACCUGGGCUUAAAUGGGGAGUGACAGCUGUCGAAAGAUGGUUUCUUCGGACACUCUUCAAGGUGCUGCAUGGUUGUCGUCAGCUCGUGCCGUGAGGUGUCGGGUUAAGUCCCAUAACGAGCGCAACCCUUACCGUUAGUUACCAUCAGGUUAAGCUGGGGACUCUAGCGGGACUGCCACCGUAAGGUGAGAGGAAGUGGGGAUGACGUCAAAUCAGCACGGCCCUUAUGUCCAGGGCUACACACGUGUUACAAUGGCCAGUACAAAGGGCAGCUACCGGGUGACCGGAUGCUAAUCUCUAAAGCUGGUCUCAGUUCGGAUCGAAGUCUGCAACCCGACUUCGUGAAGCUGGAUUCGCUAGUAAUCGCGCAUCAGCCAUGGCGCGGUCGAAUACGUUCCCGGGCCUU